UCCGAGUUGACCCCGGCAGUCUCCUGCGAGUCCCCGCCAUUACGCGCUGGCAACACAGGACAAGGGUUGCGCUCGUUGCGGGACUUAACCCAACAUCUCACAACACGAGCUGACGACAGCCAUGCAGCACCUGUCACUCGGCUCCCGAAGGCACUCCGCCGUCUCCGGCAGAUUCCGAGGAUGUCAAGGGUAGGUAAGGUUCUUCGCGUUGCAUCGAAUUAAACCACAUGCUCCACCGCUUGCGCGGGCCCCCGUCAAUUCCUUUGAGUUUUAACCUUGCGGCCGUACUCCCCAGGCGGAGUGCUCAAAGCGAUAGCUGCGUCACUGACGGGCAUGCCCCCCACACCUAGCACCCAUCGUUUACGGCUGGGACUAC
This 376-nucleotide unclassified non-coding RNA is filed under the name uncultured bacterium. RNAcentral describes it as "contains 16S-23S intergenic spacer region". The record is from RNAcentral.